UUUGAAUAUAACCAACUACAUCCCAAGUUGCAUCAGUAUCAAUGGAUCCAACAUGGUGACCAUCUGCCCCUCAAGUAUUCAUAUCUGCAAACCCUCGUCUAAAGAAAAAUUCAUCCAGAAAUUAAUCACCGAGUAUGCAAGGUUGGCAUGCAUAUUCACGUUUAAUCGUGGCCAUGAUGAUAGGAAUUAAAAAAACACGAAAAUAGGAAUGAUGCACCUUUACUUAGAUCUCAGGGUUCUAAAAUUUGUUGCUGAGAUUUGAGAAACAUAGGAAAUGUGUUUCAUGAUUUCAAAUUAGAUUUGCAUAAGAGUUCAGAAACGCAUACAUCCCUUCUUUUCAUUCCCCUAAACGCUAAAGCCUAGGCUUUCAACACCAAAACACCCAAAUAGUACCAGAACUUUGCAAUGUGCAGGGAAUAUACUAAAAAAAUUUAAACCACAAUCAAGCAUCAUCUAUCUAAACAAAAUCAGAACCCAAACCACAUACAAAAUCUCUAAAUAUAUAAUAAUAAUAAUAAUAAUAAUAAUUCUAGUAGAAAUUCCAAUCCAUUACAACAAAACACAGAAUACCAGGUAUUGCUGGAUGUAGAUAUCCAAAACAGCAGCACCCAUCAAUUGAUCUAAUUACGUAUCCAUUCCCUAUCCAUGGCAUACAAAGUAUGUACUCCCUCUUUACAUGUUAUAAAACAUUUAGUAGACCAGCAAUCAAAAUUAACAACCCUAAUUGCUGUAUACACUAUACACUAUGCUCUCCAACUGAAAAUGUUUAAUUAAAUUUUCCAACUUAAAACCCUAAAUUAAAUCCUACAAAUUGAAAUAGCAGAAACAGAAUUAGAGACAAGGAAGAAAUCACUGACCUUCGAGUUGUUGAAAGCUCUGAUGGGUGUUUCUUUUCAUCCAGCCCUAAAAACAGAACGCACAAUUGUAAUAUAAUAUCCAAUCAUAGGUUAAGAAUCAAAUUAACCCAGCCUGUGUAUAGAAAAAUUGAACAAAUUUAGACAUUUAUAUGUAUGUAUAUUCCAGUAAAAAAGAAUGAAAUGCACUGAACCCUAAAAUGAAAAACUAUGUCAGACUGAUUGAAGAAGAGAAACAGAGAGGGAGAGAGAGUGGGACGGAGAGAAAACCCUAAAAACAGAACCCUCUGGCAACCUAACACAAAAUCAAGCCAACAAAUUCCAUUUCAAUUUUGACAAAACAAAUCGGAAAAAAAUAAUGAAAACCUGAACGAAAUACAGAGGAACUGAUGGGUUUAUGCAUCAACAACUUGAUAAAACCCAGAAACACAAAACCUAAUAUGUAUCAGCUACAAAAACCCAAAUAAAUAAAUAAAACACUCAAAUUUCAAACGAAGAUGUCAUAGAUGGAGGAAGAGAGAAGUGACAGAGAGGGAGAGAUACUUACUCAACCCCACCAUCUCUCCGCAGCCAACACACUGAUUCCCUCAACCCUACCCUCAAAUCUUGUACCCAAUCAACUCUCUUUCUGUCCCCCUAAUCGUGCACCCGCCGUCACCUUCUCUCUGCAACCAAACCCCUCUCCUCCCCCAUAUCACACCCCCACCUGUGAAGGCAGUGACAGCAGACCACCUCCCUAGAAACCGGCCCUAAAAACCCAUACCCAUACCUCCCUUACCCGUUCCCUUUAACCCUCGCAUAAAAUCCUCCCAUCUCUCUCUCACCCUUGUCCCAUCUCUCUGUCUCUGCAAAUCGCAGAAAACAAACCCUAAACCAAAUCCCUAAAAUCCUGCCUCAAUCCCCCCACACUUCUAUUGGACACUCCCUAUCUCUCUCUGCAAUGCGUAAAACAAAUCUCCUAAAUCCUAUCUCGGACAUUGUAACCUGAAUCAAGCUGGUUUCACACAUACCAAUAGAAAACCAAAAUAUCAAUGUUGGGGAAGUUACCUUAUUUGAAAUACCACCAAAAAACAGAGUAUACUUUUAGGCAAAUAUUGUUUAAACACCCAAACAUAAUUCAUGAUAUGUGCCAAAAAGAAAAUACCUCUCGAUUAGAUUUCCUUCGUUCACAAGCUUUCUCCCUGACAAACUCUUGAGAUAGAACCAAAAAAGAAAAUA
RNAcentral lists this long non-coding RNA (2072 nucleotides) under Malus domestica (apple). RNAcentral's name for it is "long non-coding RNA (MDOM_LNC010072)". Lineage: Eukaryota; Viridiplantae; Streptophyta; Magnoliopsida; Rosales; Rosaceae. The record is from RNAcentral.